UAACGGCGAGUGAAGCGGUAAAAGCUCAAAUUUGAAAUCUUCGGAAUUGUAAUUUGAUGGGUAGAAUUGCUAUUAAAAAAAGUUCAUUGGAAUAUGACGCCACAGAGGGUGAUAGCCCCGUUAAUUAAAAGCACUAUAAUUCUAUUCCUAAGAGUCGGGUUGUUUGGGAAUGCAGCUCAAAGUGGGUGGUAAAUUCCAUCUAAAGCUAAAUAUUGGCGAGAGACCGAUAGCGAACAAGUACAGUGAUGGAAAGAUGAAAAGAACUUUGAAAAGAGAGUGAAAUAGUACGUGAAAUUGUUGAAAGGGAAGGGAAAGGGGGAGAUAAUUCAAGAAAAUACUUCUG
Molecule: ribosomal RNA, 343 nt
Filed under: Metschnikowia sp. (in: budding yeasts & allies)
Lineage: Eukaryota; Fungi; Ascomycota; Pichiomycetes; Serinales; Metschnikowiaceae
Description: LSU rRNA
Rfam family: Eukaryotic large subunit ribosomal RNA
Source: RNAcentral